RNAcentral lists this ribosomal RNA (465 nucleotides) under uncultured bacterium. RNAcentral's name for it is "bacterial SSU rRNA". It matches the Rfam family "Bacterial small subunit ribosomal RNA", at positions 338 to 795 of the family's 1533-position model. The record is from RNAcentral.
CCUACGGGUCGCACCAGUGGGGAAUAUUGCACAAUGGGCGCAAGCCUGAUGCAGCCAUGCCGCGUGUGUGAAGAAGGCCUUCGGGUUGUAAAGCACUUUCAGCGAGGAGGAAGGUGGUGAGCUUAAUACGCUCAUCAAUUGACGUUACUCGCAGAAGAAGCACCGGCUAACUCCGUGCCAGCAGCCGCGGUAAUACGGAGGGUGCAAGCGUUAAUCGGAGUUACUGGGCGUAAAGCGCAUGCAGGCGGUUUGUUAAGUCAGAUGUGAAAUCCCCGGGCUCAACCUGGGAACUGCAUUUGAAACUGGCAAGCUAGAGUCUCGUAGAGGGGGGUAGAAUUCCAGGUGUAGCGGUGAAAUGCGUAGAGAUCGGGAGGAAUACCGGUGGCGAAGGCGGCCCCCUGGACGAAGACUGACGCUCAGGUGCGAAAGCGUGGGGAGCAGACAGGAUUAGAUACCCGAGUAGUC